This is a non-coding RNA of Apaloderma vittatum (bar-tailed trogon), 72 nucleotides long. NCBI's taxonomy places the organism in Eukaryota, Metazoa, Chordata, Aves, Trogoniformes, Trogonidae. The record is from Rfam.
GGUUAGAGCUCGGUCGGUUAGAGCUUGGUGCUGAUAACACCACGGUCGCGGGUUCGAUCCCCGUUGGGUCCC